UUGGCGCGGAUUCCUAGUGAUUAGAGUUUGAUCAUGGCUCAGGGUGAACGCUGGCGGCGCGCUUAACACAUGCAAGUCGUGCGCGAAAGGCCAAACCGCAAGGGGAGGCCAAGUAGAGCGGCAAACGGGUGAGUAACACGUAGCUAACCUGCCUCCACGACGAGGAUAACAGCCCGAAAGGGCUGCUAAUACUCGAUAUGCUCACGGAGAUUCGUCUCUGCGAGGAAAGCUCCCGCAAGGGAGCGCGUGGAGAGGGGGCUGCGGCCUAUCAGCUCGUUGGUGAGGUAACGGCUCACCAAGGCGAUGACGGGUAGGGGGCGUGAGAGCGUGGCCCCCCACAUGGGGACUGAGACACGGCCCUGACUCCUACGGGAGGCAGCAGUGGGGAAUCUUCGGCAAUGGGCGCAAGCCUGACCGAGCGACGCCGCGUGGGGGAUGAAGGCCUUCGGGUUGUAAACCCCUUUUCAGGGGGACGAAUAAGUCCGGGAGGCAAUGCCCGGAUGAUGACGGUACCCCUGGAAGAAGCCACGGCUAACUCUGUGCCAGCAGCCGCGGUAAGACAGAGGCGGCGAGCGUUACCCGGAUUCACUGGGCGUAAAGGGUGUGUAGGCGGUCGUGCGUGUCCGUUGUGGAAAUCUUCCCUGCUCAACGGGGAGAAGUUCCGAACUAAAACUUCACAGGUUUGUAAGGGCCUGGAAAA
RNAcentral lists this ribosomal RNA (700 nucleotides) under uncultured bacterium. RNAcentral's name for it is "bacterial SSU rRNA". It matches the Rfam family "Bacterial small subunit ribosomal RNA", at positions 1 to 666 of the family's 1533-position model. The record is from RNAcentral.